Acinonyx jubatus (cheetah) is the source of this 3030-nucleotide long non-coding RNA. RefSeq lists it as uncharacterized. The transcript has 3 exons. The record is from RefSeq and is a predicted model, not a curated record. Lineage: Eukaryota; Metazoa; Chordata; Mammalia; Carnivora; Felidae.
CUGUGGCUCCCCUGUCACCAGGAACCCGAGGACUGCUGUGUCAUUGUCCCCAUGUUAAAAGUGGGGUGCGCCAGCGUUGGCUCCGUCUAGAACUGGGUCUUUGUUCUCUCCCGACAAUUUUAUUUAAUUGUCAUAGACUCUGGGUCUGGAGUUCUGUCUCGUCCAGCAAGAGAGCAGAUGCAGGAUUAAACACAAUGGGGUCAAGGCCAUGCAAACAGCAGGAAGGGAGAAGGAAGCGGGUGAGGAGGAGGAGACAGGAGGUCGGCCGGGCUGGCACAGCAUUCGCGCGUUCGCGAGGUUCCAGGAUGACAUCCCAAGAGAUUUCAACCGGAAAACUGGCUACCUUCUCUGUUCAGGUCGCAACAUUGACAUCAAGGACAUUUCUCGUAGAAUAUGCGGGAAAUGGAAGAAAAGACGUUGCACUAAUGGAGACAGAGGCGCGAGAGACGGAGAGAAAGCCAGGUCCUGGUGUGCCCGCUGGGUGCACAUACACGAUCCUCACAGCGACCCCCGACAAGGUCCUGGCCAGCACCUUGCCCCCUGCUUCUCGGCCCUGGCCUGAACGGUUCCCUCCAACCCCAUCAAGACCUCCGGGGCUUGGGCCCGGGCAGGGUGAUUUUAAAAUGUCCCCACGUGAUGCUGAUAUGCGGUCAAAGCCUCAGCCCCCGGGGCAGCGGAAAGACGCCCGGCCCCGCCCCCAUCCCCAAGGACCCCGUCCCCAGCCCCAGCCGACCUCAGGCUCUCAGGCUCCAGCUGCUCUUUUCUUCUUCGGGGGCGUUGCACUCACCUGACCCGUGGUCACCCUUCUUCUCUGUGACCUCUGACUCCUGUCACUGAAGAAGAACCUGCACGCUCCUUGUCCACAUGCACCUGCUGUUCAGUGUCCCUAGAUGCCCCCCCCCCUCCCCAGACCCCUUGUAGAACUCACACCUCCCUCCACGGCCCUGGCCCAGAGCGUCCCCCGCUCAGAGACUCACUACCCACCCCCCUCCAUGAUGCCAUGAAGCAAAUCUCAAACUCCUGACCAUGGCAUCCUGACAUGUUUGGGUAGAUCAUUGAUAUUUAACCAGACAAAUACAAAAUGUAACUAAAAUGAGAGCCAGCAAGCUUUUUUUUUUUUUUUUAACUUGGCACUCUUUGUUUAUGGUGGACCGUCCCCAUGGAAACUGGGGAUAAAAAUAGCUGGCCUGUGUGUGUACCUGGUAAGGUUGUGAUGAGCACACGGGACACUACAAAUGUCCUUAUCCAGGAAGCUGUUGAAUCGCUGAGCUGGGCACUCCCUCCAAGGCCCAAGCCUCACCGACGGGCUUCGAAACGGAGGUGUCGGUGUUUGGGAGGCUCCCCAGCUCGCAUCCUGCUCCCAUCCUUCCAGAUAGCCUCUCUGCUGGCAUCUAGGCCACUGUGCACUCCCAGCAGCCAGGCUGGAAGCCUGUGCUCACUUCUCGUCCGACCCGAGCUCGCCCCACAUGGGGCCACGGCCGCUUGGAAAACUCUCUUUUCUUGGGGCCCCCUGUUCUAUGAAACGGGUUGAUUGUGUCUCCUCCCGUGGCUCCUGCUUCUGUCAGCUUGUGGAAGGGGUCUCGGGUGCCCAGGAGUGGCCUUUGCACACAGCGCCCCUCCCCCACCACUCCUGUGAUUUAUCCCUUGACUGUGAGCUCCUGGAGGGCAGAGGCCACGUUUUAUUAAUACCUAUAACCCAAUAUCGAUACUUUGCCGUUCAAUAAGAGUUUGCUAUGAAUAAAGAAAUGAAUACUGAUUAAAUAUGAUUCAAAAGGCACUUAGGGGAGAGAUGUUCUGUGAGUCAUAAAUAUUCAGAGGCCGAGUAGGAGGCAUCCUUGAGCGCUUCACGGGGCCAAGAAAAGGUUCCUUUACCCCUAAUUUGGCCUUGUGAGAUAACAUAGGUGAUGUGUGACGGUCAUGUGUUUGGCACAAAACCCGUAACUUGAAACGGUCCUUGGACGAGGACCUCAAGGGCCAUAAAUACGCACAGCGCCCUCACUGGUGGAGGCCAGCUCUGCGGCCGGCUCCUAGGUCACCGUGCAGCACUGGACCCGCCAGCCUGGGGCCACCUUCCCCGGGGUUAAGGCGCGGGGAUACUCUGUGGGCCGUGCCCUUGUCCUCACUGCCAACGUCAGAUGGUUAAAAGUCCCCUCUUCCUUCACGGCAUUUUGUGUGUCGACCACCAAUUCACUUAUCCAAGCCUUUUAAAUUCCCCUGCUGCUAAUUAUAGGAUAAGUGGCUUCACGGAUGUGCCUACUGUGAAAAGCUAAGGCCUCCUCGGAAAAGUAGUAAAUGUGCCUCUUCCAAACUAGAGGGAUGUCCCCAAAUCCUGAGGUCCUGGGACAACAGUCAGUCUGUCCACUCUACUCCGAUCUUCGUGGCGUUACAGAAGGCAGUUGCCCUUGAAGGUUUCUUAUUUCUAGGCCGAGAACUGUCUGUCUGGUCUGUUUCCAUCAGUGCCUGGAACUCUGCCUCGCAUCCCAGAGUGGACUUGGCAGGACCCGUUUCGAGGGCGCUCGAGUGUUACAUUUACCUUCAGUGCCUCCUGGAUGACCUGGAACUUUCCACUGCGCUGACUAUACUCCGAAGCCGUGGUUUCUAAGAGCCCAGACAAGCUGUAUUUUCUAUAAUCUGAAGUACCUCCAACCACAUGUGCAAACAGAUCGCAUUCGAGACCCGGCAAAGACCACCUGGACUUUUCAAUUUGCCAAAGUGCAUUCAGAGUCGAACCUUCCUUAUGCCAAGUGGUGCCGAAACCACAGAAUCGCAGGGCAAGAAAGGAUCUUGACAGUCUGAUCCAUUUUCUUCCCUUCAGGGGAAUUAUUUCCCUCGCCCCAGACUGGGCGACAUAAUCCUUGACCUUUGAAGCCCUUCAGAGAAGGUGACCCUGAGUCUGUCGUCGGCGUUCAGUUCUUACCAGAACUGCUCCGUCAGGACACCUGGAUCCAGCAGGCCUACCCUGGAGGAUCCUUUCUGCUUGGAGACCAGGACCAUGAUGAUUCCAACCCCCUGGUCUGUGUUUGUCGGCAG